RNAcentral lists this ribosomal RNA (453 nucleotides) under uncultured Bacteroides sp. RNAcentral's name for it is "partial 16S ribosomal RNA". It matches the Rfam family "Bacterial small subunit ribosomal RNA", at positions 341 to 792 of the family's 1533-position model. The record is from RNAcentral. Lineage: Bacteria; Pseudomonadati; Bacteroidota; Bacteroidia; Bacteroidales; Bacteroidaceae.
ACGGAAGGCAGCAGUGAGGAAUAUUGGUCAAUGGGCGGAAGCCUGAACCAGCCAAGUCGCGUGAAGGAUGAAGGUAUUAUGUAUUGUAAACUUCUUUAGCAGCAGAGUAAUAAGGGGGUCGUGACCCCCGAUGCAAGUAUGCUGAAAAUAAGGAUCGGCUAACUCCGUGCCAGCAGCCGCGGUAAUACGGAGGAUCCGAGCGUUAUCCGGAUUUAUUGGGUUUAAAGGGUGCGCAGGCGGUUUUUUAAGUCAGUGGUUAAAUCGUGAGGCUCAACCUCAUCACGCCAUUGAUACUGGAAGACUUGAUUGCGGUUGAGGUUGGCGGAAUUCGUCGUGUAGCGGUGAAAUGCAUAGAUAUGACGAAGAACUCCGAUUGGGAAGCCAGCUUACUGUAGCGCCACUGACGCUGAUGCUCGAAAGCGUGGGUAUCGAACAGGAUUAGAUACCCUGGUA